RNAcentral lists this ribosomal RNA (214 nucleotides) under uncultured prokaryote. Its description in RNAcentral is "partial 16S ribosomal RNA". It matches the Rfam family "Bacterial small subunit ribosomal RNA", at positions 355 to 583 of the family's 1533-position model. The record is from RNAcentral.
UGGGGAAUUUUCCGCAAUGGGCGAAAGCCUGACGGAGCAAGACCGCGUGAGGGAGGAAGGCCCUUGGGUUGUAAACCUCUUUUCUCAGGGAAGAAGAAAGUGACGGUACCUGAGGAAUCAGCCUCGGCUAACUCCGUGCCAGCAGCCGCGGUAAUACGGAGGAGGCAAGCGUUAUCCGGAAUUAUUGGGCGUAAAGCGUCCGCAGGUGUUGAUG